CUGCUUUCUCGCUACAUACGCUUCUUUAUAACAAUGCACCCCUGAGCCUCGCUUCAUAUUUUGGUUUAAGUGCUUCCAUUCUGCCAACUGUCUUGUUGGGAUCAGAAGUGAGAUCCAAAGAAACCCGCCAAUGACUCAGGCUGAUAUAAAGAAUUCUUUUUUUCAUCUAUUUUAAUCUAUAACUUAGAACAAUUUGACGGUACGUAUUUGCAACAAAGGUUGAAACAUUUAUCUUUUGCUCCCUAUCUGACCCCUGCAGAAUUUGGAAACUCUUACUGAAUACUAUUGUUUUUCAUGACAAUGUAUUAAUUUGCAUAAGUUCAGUAAGAAUCUUUUCUCCUUGUAAAGGGACUAACUGGGUAAAUCCUAGGCUUAGCUUCCUAGCUUCAAGAGGGUUUUGAAAGUCCAAUCUGAAAUUCCUUAUGAAAAAGUCCCAGCAAAACAGAUAUACUUGUUUUUAAUAUCUUAGUGUUUAUUUAUUUUUGAGAGAGAGAGCACAAGCGGAGGAGGGGCAGAGAGAGGAGGGAGACACAGAAUCCGAAGCAGGCUCCAGGCUCUGAGCUGUCAGCACAGAGCCCCAUGCAAGGCUUAAACUCAUGAACUGUGAGAUCUUAACCUGAGCUGAAGUCGGACGUUUAACCAACUAAGCCAGCCAGGCGUCCCAAAGCAGAUUUAAAAAAGCCUAUAUGGUCAAUCACUAUUCUUGCUGCACCUCUAUAAAUAUCCAGGCCAAGUUUAUUAAAACGAGACUUAAUUUGCAAACAAAUUAGUCUUACUGUGGUUUCUUUUCAUAGAAAUGGGGAUGAUUAUAAAGAGAAAAAUUAUGUUUCAGUCAUGUACCUUUGUAGAUACCAGAUUCCAGUGUUGUUAAUUGUCUUUGAGAUUUUGUUUUCCACCUAUAAACUGGAGUAGAUCCUGAAUACUUCAAAGUUUUCUCCAACAUUUGGCUAGAACUCUCCAAACUAACAUUUUCCAUUUUCUCUCACUCUUUUGACUUGCAAUCACUAUACAGCUAAAACUGCCCUUUUCUGGAAGCCAUGCAACUAAAGCUGGAUAACUUGAUAUACACUUCAAAGAAAUCAGCACAACAGCUCCUGUGUGGACAAUCUCCAUGCCUACUGCUAUGCAGCCACUCAGAGCUCACCAGAGACAUUCACAAUGCAAACCAGGAAUGUGUCAGAUUGCCGCUGCCUGCCUUCACUCCAUCUAAAGAUGCUUAGAACCCGACAUCUAGAAAUCUUCUCAACUGGCUGCUCUCCAAACUCAGAAACUGAAUUUAUAAUUUGCUUAAACUAUUAACCUUUGUUUUUCUUCUGUUUCCAUAGAAAUGCCUCUCAUUAAAUUACCUGAUUGCUCACAUCAGAAUGACACCUAAAGCAGGUGAAAAUUCACCUGCAACACUGCCUCCUGAAAUAAAACAUCCUCAUAUUCAUCCUGUCCUAAGUAAUCAUGAGGAUAUGUGUUUGCCGAGACAUCGUGUUAUGCCUAUAACCCAUUUGAGUUAUUUAACUGGUUAAAUCUCGGUGUCUACGGUCUCAGCUCUGGGGAAUUUCUCAAUCUGUGGCUAUUGUUCUCCCUAUAGUCAUCAUAUUAAUCUCACUAGCGUAUCGUAUACUCUCUCAGGUUUUAAACGCCUGUCAGUCCCCACUCACAUGCCACGUGGUAUUCACAAAGGAUUAGGCAACUGGAUGGAAUCAACAAUAACUACACAAAUGAUGAAGACGGUGACUACAUGGCCCUCUGGCCUGACUACUCAACUAAUGGAAACAGCAGAUAUAUGAUUCUUUGGCCUGAUUACAUCAACAGUGGUAAGGAGAAUAACGUGAUACCAGUUGGUCAUACUCUCAACCUGCUGAGGGAAUGACCAAAAGGGAGGGAAUUCUCGAAACGAAAACCAAACUAGAGACGAGCCUUGAAAAUUCCCUGAGCAGACAAAACCAGGUUAGUCAUACAAACAGAGCUGAAGUCAGCUUAUUUUGCAAGACUAACUUGACCUAGGUCAUUUCUUGCUUUUGCUUCCGGAAAUCAUAAGCAAAACUUGAUCUGUUCCCCAAGGUUGAUAUGAAGUAACCACUGACCAAUUAUUUAUCACUUAAGAAAAUUCUAAUAUUACAACCCUUGUGAAGAAUAAACAGUCAGUGCUUUCUCACCAAAUAAGCUUCUUAUAACAAUAUACCCCUGAGCCCCACUUCAUGUUUUGGUUUGAGUACUCCUGGUCUGCAAACUGUCUUUUUGCGGCGUGCACAAUAAACUUUUACUAAUUACUACUUCAA
This is a long non-coding RNA of Neofelis nebulosa (Clouded leopard), 2273 nucleotides long. RefSeq lists it as uncharacterized. The record is from RefSeq and is a predicted model, not a curated record. The transcript has 3 exons. NCBI's taxonomy places the organism in Eukaryota, Metazoa, Chordata, Mammalia, Carnivora, Felidae.